CACCCCUCUCUCUGCAGCACCUGCACUAGCCUUAGCAAGUUCUGCUCCAAACUCAGGCACCUCGACCUGGCUUCCUGUACGUCAAUAACAAACAUGUCUCUCAAAGCUCUGAGUGAGGGCUGUCCACUGUUGGAGCAGUUGAACAUCUCCUGGUGUGACCAAGUAACCAAGGAUGGCAUUCAAGCACUAGUGAGAGGCUGUGGGGGUCUCAAGGCCUUAUUCUUAAAA
Molecule: long non-coding RNA, 228 nt
Filed under: Rattus norvegicus (Norway rat)
Lineage: Eukaryota; Metazoa; Chordata; Mammalia; Rodentia; Muridae
Description: long non-coding RNA NONRATT005974
Source: RNAcentral